UCCAAGGUAGCUCAACGGUGGAGCACUCGGCUGUUAACCGAUAGGCUGUGGGUUCGAAUCCCACCCUUGGAGCCA
This 75-nucleotide transfer RNA is filed under the name delta proteobacterium ML8_F1. Its description in RNAcentral is "tRNA-Asn". It matches the Rfam family "tRNA". Rfam says of the family: Transfer RNA (tRNA) molecules are approximately 80 nucleotides in length. The record is from RNAcentral. Lineage: Bacteria; Deltaproteobacteria. RNAcentral also lists the same sequence under 5 other names.